RNAcentral lists this small nucleolar RNA (122 nucleotides) under Saimiri boliviensis boliviensis (Bolivian squirrel monkey). Its description in RNAcentral is "small Cajal body-specific RNA 17 (ENSSBOG00000008225.1)". The record is from RNAcentral. Lineage: Eukaryota; Metazoa; Chordata; Mammalia; Primates; Cebidae.
UUCUGGGGUCCCCAGGGCAGUUUUCCUUUCAUGAUCAGAGCCCACUGUAGGCAGCAAUGCCAGCUGGGAGUCUGAGAAAGUUAUACAAACAUGGCAGGUAAAGUGGGUCAGGGAACCCGGGU